RNAcentral lists this long non-coding RNA (2671 nucleotides) under Marmota monax (woodchuck). The record is from RNAcentral. Lineage: Eukaryota; Metazoa; Chordata; Mammalia; Rodentia; Sciuridae.
GUGAAUGCAUAACUCUUUAAAAAUUAAUAUAGUUAAAAUUAUAUUAUUUAUUUUUGGGGUAUCCAUUUUGUGGUGGCCAAAAGCUGAAAUGGAAAACAGUAAACUACUAUAUCAAUUUCUCUGAGGUUACUUGCUCAUCUUUACUUUUUCCUGGGCUCAGAGAUGGACCAAGUCCACCAUACUUGAGUUUCUACUAUAUUUUAACUCUAGUGCCCAUUAUUGAUUUAGUCUAGAAUAUUUUUCUCCCCCCAAAAUCUCCUGUGCCACCUGUUAGAAUUUUGAGUUCUCUGGCAAAUUUCUAAGCAUGGCUUUUUAUCUUCUUGAAAAUAGCAUGUACAUAGUUGUUGCACAGUCUGUGUCCAAAUAUCCCAGCAUCUGGAGACCCUGUUGUGUGUUAUUUCUUCUUUACUGUCCUCCUUCUGGUGCCUGGUUACCUCUGAUAAUUUGGAAGACAUAUACAAGAAAGUAUUUGUAGAAAGCAAUCAAGGCCUAGGGUGAUAUUCUCUUCCUCCCAAAAGAAUUCUAGUUUUUGAUACUAGCAGUUUGGAGUCACCUUAAAUAAGUUCUAUGCUUGAGCAUUUUUGGCCUUGGGACUUCCAGUUGCCAUAAGCCUUUAAAGGAUGCCAAAAUUCAGUUUAGAUUCUCAAACCCCCUACAGAAUCAACAAAUGCCCCCUUCCCCCAGAACAAAAGCAAUCCCAAGUUCCAGGCUUGUGUCCACAGAUUCCUUUCCCAAGUUUUGGCCUAGCAAUUCCUUACUAGCCCUUUGAAUUUUAAAAUAUUUUAUCCAGCUUUUUUAGUUGUCUUCAUCUGGAAGAUUGGUCUGAAUUACUCAGUCCUUAAUGAAAGUAGAAAUCCUUCUGAUCCAGACCUCAGUUUUUUAGUGGUUUACUUUUCUCUGGACAUGAGCUUCUUAGAAAAAAAAAUUUUUUUUCCGAUUUCUUUUUUCUUUAGCAGUAAAGUCUACAUUGACUUGUGCACACACACACACACACACACACACAUUGCUUCCCUCACCUGCAGUCUGGGCUGGAAGAGAACCCUGCAUCCUAUACACCAAAUAUCCCAGGAGAGCUGAGGUCAGAGUGGCCCUCCUUACCAGACUCAGAAACAGCCUGUUGGUACAAAUAUUCAGGUGGGGCCUGGAGAAGGCAGGUGCACAGCCGUGGCUUUGAUAAUUUUCUCUUCAGUACAACACUAGCAUGAGGAGCAGCCCUGGGUGUAAAGGCCCCUGAUAGGUCUCAGUUUGCAGAAUAGGACGUGACAAGAAGAUCGGAGCUGCAGCCAGCUCUAGAGGGAGAAAGAGGAGCCAAACAGAAAACAGAAGCUAAAUGAUGCAUUAAAAACCUGUAAGUCCCCCCACGAAGAUUUCCUCUUCGGCAGGCUUCACUUUUAAACAAAGCUUUUUCAUUCCAUUGGUUUGGGGUGAACUGUUCCCGGAGAUUUUGCUAAAUGGAUCGGUAUGGGGCGAAUUGGGUCCGCAGGGAAGAAUUUGUGGAGGCUAGUUUUCAGAGACUGUUCCUCUGUUGUAGGAAAUCAAAUGUAAAUCUUCCCAGAGUCACUUACAGUACUUGUUUUUGGUGACUACUCUCAGUGGCCACUGGGGAUUGCCUUCCAGGGUUCUGGGCUUCGGUUUCCUCAUUUGUAGGUUGGGGAUCACUACUCUGUGAGCGAUUCAAGGCGCGCAGACCCAGGUGAGGCGCUGGCAACCCGAAGUCCGCCGGGUUAGAGAAGCCAGAAGGAGCGCGGAGACCAGAGAGAACCGACUGGCGGUGAGAGGACAGUCCAGCAUCCUGGCUGCGGGCUAUGCUGCCGCGACAGGCUUUGUGAGCCUAGAGGCGGCACAGGAAGUCUCUCCCUUUGAAGGCCGGACAAGGAGUGAGGCAGCUCUGGUGACAGUUGCUGGACAUUAGGGUGGUUGGGGCAAAGCUGUUGGUGAGCACGCUCGGGAACGAACUGGGCGCCCGUCCCCACACCCGAAUGGCUGAAGGUGUUUUAAAAAGCCUAUUUGAAAAAUAAACAAUCUGGGAGUAAUCUUGAUUAUAUUUCCCCAGUUGAGGGGGUUCAUUUUUGUUCUGCUUUUGUUUUUUAAUCCUAAAGCACAUAUUCGCUUAUGAAUGCUACGAAGCUGCGGGCCCGGAGAUGCGUGUUGGUGGAGGUUUUCUGCAAACUGCAUUGUGCAGCCCUUGCCUCUGGAAUUCGGAAGCCGCUGCAAAGACAGAAACUAAAAAUUGCUUGAGCUCUGGAAGCUGCAGCCUCUGGCGACUGUUAGAGCUUUCAGUAGGGACUCAUAGAUAGAUCCAUGGGCGGCAACUCUGCUUCUCACCUUCAAGACCUCAUCUGCCAAGAUAUCUGUCUUUUUCCGUUUAGACUCUCUUAAGGACUUCCUGAUGGAAAACCGCCAAGGCUGGAAGCCUUCCAGGAGCACAACCUUACAGCUUGAAAACUCAGGGCGGGGUUCAAUCCAGGUUCGCGCAGCUUGAGGCUCGCAGUGUAGGACCUCUUCAAGAAAAAAAAAAUAUACAACAUCAGACUAAAUUAGGAAUCAAAGUAAAUAUUAGCUUAGCAUGCAAAAAGCAGUGUCAAUAAAUUAUACAAUUUAAAAAACAGACAAAUACCGCAACCAAAAAAAAUCCUGAUAAAUAUUUCUAAUAGUUGCCUGAACAACUGCU